AUUUGUUUAAAAAAAGUACAUCUCGGCCCUAAAGCCUCAGGAAAGACAAACAUUCCUUUUCCAAACAAAGGAAAACCACCGAGGUGGGGACGCGCGGCCCAUCGUUGCUUCUGGCUCGGAUGCCAGAUGCGGAGACGGCGGCUCUGCUCGCCUGUUGGUGGGGCGGGCUGAGGGAAGGCUCGCUUUCGCUGACUGAUCGGGAUUCAGCCGUGCAGCGAUAAAAGGAAGUUUUAUGCUAGGGAAACUUCGGUGAAAAUGAAUCUGCACCCGGGGUUUUGACAGGCAGCCAAGAUCAGCAGAGCGCCCCCCCUCCCACCGUGCAGCAGAGAGGGAUCCCCGCGCCCCCUCGUGUCCGGGGGGCCAGGAGCCCUUUCCGCUCUGGAGCAGAGCACGGCUCUCCACGGCUGCACCUUCCACAGUCCAGUUCAGAUGUAGCCAGGAGGUACAGGGUGAGAAAUAUCCCUGGUAUGUUCCUGGAGAAAAGAUGGAUAAGAAGGAGCAGCUAAUGAGAGCUUUCCCAAAGCCACAGGGUUGUAAAGAAGAAAGAGUAAAAGGGCAUUUUCUGAAACAGAUCCAGUAGUGAUGGUCCUGACCCUCGGCCGCUGACCGCUUUCCCUGUGGCUCCUGUGUCUUCCUCUGAUUGGCUGCUGUGUGUCAGAGCCAGUUUGCUCUUUAAUUGUGCGUUUGACAUCUUCUCCAGCAGUUCCUGAAAGGGAAAAGGGUUAUAAAAUCGCACUGAAGGUGUUUCAGAAACAGUGCAGAUGCUGAUUUUUUGCAUCCUUGUUUUUAAUGCUACCAAAUAUUAAGAAAUAGUUCAAAUGUCCCCUCCCUACUCUGAUGUUUAUAUGUGAGAGAACUCAAUUGCACAUUGUGUUGAGAAACCUAUCAUUAAAAGACUAUAAAAAUACAAAGAAUUUCUCUAAACAAUCUUAA
This 933-nucleotide long non-coding RNA is filed under the name Lepisosteus oculatus (spotted gar). RNAcentral's name for it is "lncRNA (ENSLOCG00000021256.1)". The record is from RNAcentral. Lineage: Eukaryota; Metazoa; Chordata; Actinopteri; Semionotiformes; Lepisosteidae.